Antechinus flavipes (yellow-footed antechinus) is the source of this 683-nucleotide long non-coding RNA. RefSeq lists it as uncharacterized. The record is from RefSeq and is a predicted model, not a curated record. The transcript has 3 exons. NCBI's taxonomy places the organism in Eukaryota, Metazoa, Chordata, Mammalia, Dasyuromorphia, Dasyuridae.
CGCUGAAAAGAAUGGGUUGUCAAAUGGAAAUGGAGGAAUCGUGAGUGCCUGAACAUUCAUGGUGGAGAGGAGAGGUUUUGAGAGGAGAAGAGAUUGUCACCACAAUGAACAAAGAGGACUGGAGAAAGGAAAUGAUUUGACCAAGAUCCUUCUCAUAAAGGCACUCAAUGAUGGAAUUGUGAUUUGAAACCAGCUGCUGAGGUUGCAUCUUUCCCUUCUUGAGUCCGAACUUACUCUGGAGUUUCCACGGGCUUCCGCUUCUGCUGAAUGACUCUGAAGGGUGAACUGAGUUGGACAAAAGCAAAGGAAGUCUCAAGACUCAACUUGUUCUGAGAUUCAAAUGGGUUCCACAGUCCUGACUUCCACCUCAUCAUCACAAGUCAGUGGAUUAGGUGAAUCAACCUGGCUCCAAAUGACUUUUAGCCACACUUGGGGGAGGGGUAUUCUAAUUCAUUCACCAAAUAUUUAAACUGUUUAACGGCGCUAAUAGAGGUGAAUAUAUUACAGGUCUGUAUUUAGGCAGAGGAGCCUUAGGCAAAAUGUUGAAACUGGCAGAAAUUUACCUUUGUCUCUCCCCGCCUCCUCCCUGCCCCGCCCUCUGAAACACCUCUAUCAUCAUCUUCCCCUCCCCAACUCCUUUCAAGAAAAAAAAUCCUCUAAUAAAAUUUUACGACACAUACACA